AGUAGUUUGAUCCGUGGCUCGAGACGACGCUGGCGGCGUGCCUAACACAUGCAAGUCGAGCGGGGGACAUACGACGGACAGGAAGUUUUUCGGAUGGAAUGGAAGAUGUAUGUUCUAGCGGCGGACGGGUGAGUAACGCGUGAGCAACCUGUCCCUUACAGGGGGAUAACACAGCGAAAGCUGUACUAAUACCGCAUAAGACCACAGAGAGACAUCUCACAGGGGUCAAAGGAGCAAUCCGGUAAGGGGUGGGCUCGCGUCCGAUUAGAUAGUUGGUGAGGUAACGGCCCACCAAGUCAACGAUCGGUAGCCGACCUGAGAGGGUGAUCGGCCACAUUGGAACUGAGAGACGGUCCAAACUCCUACGGGAGGCAGCAGUGGGGAAUAUUGGGCAAUGGGCGAAAGCCUGACCCAGCAACGCCGCGUGAGUGAAGAAGGCUUUCGGGUUGUAAAGCUCUGUUAUAGGGGACGAAGGAAGUGACGGUACCCUAUAAGGAAGCCCCGGCUAACUACGUGCC
This 518-nucleotide ribosomal RNA is filed under the name uncultured organism. RNAcentral's name for it is "SSU rRNA". It matches the Rfam family "Bacterial small subunit ribosomal RNA", at positions 1 to 509 of the family's 1533-position model. The record is from RNAcentral.